Molecule: ribosomal RNA, 493 nt
Filed under: uncultured bacterium
Lineage: Bacteria
Description: partial 16S ribosomal RNA
Rfam family: Bacterial small subunit ribosomal RNA
Source: RNAcentral
AUUGAACGCUGGCGGCAUGCUUUACACAUGCAAGUCGAACGGUAACAGGUUAAGCUGACGAGUGGCGAACGGGUGAGUAAUGCAUCGGAACGUACCAUUGAGUGGGGGAUAACGUAGCGAAAGUUACGCUAAUACCGCAUAUUCUCUCCGGAGGAAAGCAGGGGAUCGUAAGACCUAGUGCUCUUCGAGCGGCCGAUGGCGGAUUAGCUAGUUGGUGAGGUAAAGGCUCACCAAGGCUACGAUCCGUAGCGGGUCUGAGAGGAUGAUCCGCCACACUGGGACUGAGACACGGCCCAGACUCCUACGGGAGGCAGCAGUGGGGAAUUUUGGACAAUGGGGGCAACCCUGAUCCAGCCAUGCCGCGUGAGUGAAGAAGGCCUUCGGGUUGUAAAGCUCUUUCAGCCGGGAAGAAAACGCAUGGGUUAAUACCCUGUGUGGAUGACGGUACCGGAAUAAGAAGCACCGGCUAACUACGUGCCAGCCGCCGCGGUAA